UGGCUCAGUGGUAGAGCGCUUGCCUUGCAUGCCUGAGGCCCUGGGUUCGAUUCCAAG
This 57-nucleotide transfer RNA is filed under the name Dipodomys ordii (Ord's kangaroo rat). It matches the Rfam family "tRNA", at positions 8 to 63 of the family's 71-position model. Rfam says of the family: Transfer RNA (tRNA) molecules are approximately 80 nucleotides in length. Their secondary structure includes four short double-helical elements and three loops (D, anti-codon, and T loops). Further hydrogen bonds mediate the characteristic L-shaped molecular structure. tRNAs have two regions of fundamental functional importance: the anti-codon, which is responsible for specific mRNA codon recognition, and the 3' end, to which the tRNAs corresponding amino acid is attached (by aminoacyl-tRNA synthetases). tRNAs cope with the degeneracy of the genetic code in two manners: having more than one tRNA (with a specific anti-codon) for a particular amino acid; and 'wobble' base-pairing, i.e. permitting non-standard base-pairing at the 3rd anti-codon position. The record is from Rfam by way of RNAcentral. Lineage: Eukaryota; Metazoa; Chordata; Mammalia; Rodentia; Heteromyidae.